GCUGAGAGUCUUGUGAAACUUACAACCAUGCAUAUAGCUGAAUGCAUGAUGAUUGAAGAAAUCAUACAACAGGCUAGAGAAGAAGUGAGAAAGGAUUGUUUGUUGUUUAGCCAACUGAAAUAUUUGGGACUUCAUUGUUUGCCAAGCCUCGUGUGCUUUUGUUUGGGGAAUUAUGCCCUUGAAUUCCCAACUUUGGAAAAAGUAGUAGUUAGAGAAUGCCCAAAGAUGGAGAUUUUUUCUCAGGGAGUCUUAAGCACACCAAAGCUACAAAGACUUCUACUGACAGAAUCAGAGGAUGAAGGGCGUUGGGAAGGCAACCUUAAUUCCACCAUACAAAAAUUGUUUGAAGAAAUGGUAUGGAUUAAUUGAUUCCUCAAAUUUCCCUUGCUUCUCUGUUACUCAUGCACUACUUUAUUUUAUUAUAUUUUUUCUUUCUGUUGGAGCAGUUGUCUCAAUGCCACAUAUUGAUGCCACACAUAAAACUAACACAGUGUUGUGCACUGACAAUCAUAAAUUAACAAACACUGUUUUUAUUAAUUUGGAUAAUAUAUUUUAUGGUUGUAAUAAUCCAUAAUCCUUGUACAACUUGGAAUUUGAAAAUUUAUAGUUCUAGGGGACCUCAUCUCUCAGAUAUGUAUCUGUUGUAUGGGGAAGUAAGCUGAGCAAGUUUAUCUAGCAAGGCAAUGAAACUUUUUCGUACUUUGUUGCCACAGUCGAAAGAUUAAGAAAUCUAAAUAAUAUGUAAAUGGAUGAUAUGACCAUAGCUUAAAGGAUGUUCAUGUGGCAUACAACUAUUAUCUGGUCAUUGCUCCACUAGUCUUACUCCCUAAUAAAUUUCUCCUAGAACAUGUAAGCUUUAAUGUACAUAUCCUUGUCUGUUAACUUCAAUACUUUGGUUUUGGUAGGUUGGACUCCUUGAUAUAAACUAUUUGGAACUCUCACAAUUUCCACAUCUUAAAGAAAUGUGGCAUCGACAAGCACUUCCGGUCAGCUUCUUCAGCAAUCUAAGUUGGCUGGUGGUGGAGGACUGCACAUUUUUCUCAAGCGCUAUUCCUGUCAAUCUGAUGUGGUUCUUGAACAAUUUGAAAAUUCUGGAAAUAAGCAAUUGUGAUUCACUAGAAGAGGUGUUUCAUUUGGAAGAGCUAAAUGCAAAUGAACAUUUUGGACCGUUGUUUCCUAGUCUUCGCAAGCUGAAGCUCAAAAAUCUUCCAAAGCUCAUAAGAUUCUGCAACUUCAUCGGGAAUGUAAUUAGACUGCCCUCCCUUUCCUAUAUGUGGAUUGAAAGUUGCCCUAAUAUGAUAACAUUCAUCUCCAAUUCUUCACCAGCACCCCUGACAGCAAACAAGGAACCUCAUGAAAUGACCUUAGAGGAAAACUUCCUGGCAGAUAUACAACCUCUCUUUGAUGAAAAGGUGAUUUGUUUUCUUUAUUCUAUUUAUUUUAAAAAUAAAUAAAAUAUCCCUUUACUUUUCUCUUCUUAGUUGACCCUCUUUGUAGCUCUACUUUACUUUAGAAUUAUUUUUGUUAUUUUGACUUAUGCAUUGAUUCAAUGGUAUUAUUAAUUUUCUUUAGGUAGGACUUCCUAGUUUGGAGGAAUUGGCAAUCUUAAGUAUGGAUAGCUUGAGAAAACUAUGGCAAGAUGAACUCUCUUUGCAUUCCUUCUACAAUUUAAAAUUCUUGGGAGUACAAAAGUGCAAUAAGUUAUUGAAUAUUUUUCCAUGCAAUAUGCUUGAAAGACUGCAGAAACUACAGAAGUUGCAGGUGCUUUAUUGUAGUUCAGUAAGAGAAAUAUGUGAACUCCGGGCACUCAGUGGGAGGGACACACACACUAUAAAAGCUGCUCCAUUGAGAGAAUCAGAUGCCAGUUUUGUGUUUCCUCAAUUAACUUCAUUGAGCUUAUGGUGGCUGCCAAGACUGAAAAGUUUCUAUCCCCAAGUACAGAUUUCAGAAUGGCCAAUGUUAAAGAAGUUGGACGUGGGUGGGUGUGCUGAAGUGGAGAUAUUCGCUUCAGAAGUUUUGAGCCUCCAAGAGACCCACGUGGAUAGCCAACAUAAUAUCCAAAUUCCACAAUAUUUGUUUUUUGUUGACAAGGUAUGAUCUCUAAACACGUAUAUGUUUUCGGUAGGGUGCACCAUGCAUCUUGAUGGUGUGCUUAAUUUAUCUGUAUGAAUUAUGAAAUAAUCAUUUUAGACGGUUUGUAAAAUAAUGUGACCCAUCCAGCCCUGAGUAGUAGCCAGGUGGUAGCACACCCCUACAUAUGCUUGGGGUGAAGGGUUUGAAUCUCACUGGAACCCUGUUACUAAAUUAUUUGUUGUUGUAGAUAUUUCUUCCCAAACAUUGAUGGACUUAGAUAUGUCCACAUGGGAAUAGAAAGUUAGGUUGCGUCACAACAAAAGUAAUCUAGGGUAGUUGCAAUAGACCUCUGAUUGUAAAUAUCAUUACUCCAAAAGAAAAUAAAAUAAAAUAAAACAUUAUUUGAAUUAUAACCCUGAAUUAUUGGAUCCUGAUUUUCCUAAUUCAUAUUUGACUCUGAAUGGAUUUGAUUUAUAUUUUAAGAGUAAUUUAGUUGAUUUAUAGUUUGGGUUCCUUUUUUGCUUAUUAAAUUACUUGGAGGUAUUUAUCAAUGGAGUGUUCUUGCUCGGAAAACUGUGGAAACUAGAUUUACAUUUUCAUUUAAUACUUAAUUUUGUUGAUUUCAGGUUGCAUUCCCUAGUCUGGAGGAGUUAAUGCUGUUUAGGUUGCCAAAGUUGUUGCAUCUGUGGAAGGGAAAUUCUCAUCCAAGCAAAGUUUUUCCAAAUCUGGCAAGUCUAAAACUAUCAGAAUGUACCAAGUUAGAAAAAUUGGUGCCAUCAUCCGUGUCUUUCCAAAAUCUGACAACUCUGGAGGUAUCAAAGUGUGAUGGGUUGAUUAAUUUGGUGACAUGCUCAACAGCUGAAAGUAUGGUGAAACUUGUGAGAAUGAGCAUAACUGAUUGUAAAUUAAUAGAAGAAAUCAUACAUCCAAUCAGAGAAGAUGUGAAGGAUUGUAUUGUAUUCAGCCAAUUGAAAUAUUUAGGACUGCAUUGUUUGCCCACCCUCACAAGCUUUUGUUUGGGCAAUUACACUCUUGAAUUCCCAUCUUUAGAACAGGUAAUUGUGAUGGAUUGCCUGAAGAUGAUGACUUUUUCUCAGGGAGCCUUGUGCACUCCAAAGCUACACAGAUUACAAUUAACAGAAGAAGAUGAUGAAGGUUGUUGGGAUGGGAACCUCAAUAACACAAUACAGCAAUUGUUCAAGCGAGUGGUAUGUAUUGAUUGAUUCACCAAUAUCUCUUAUGCAUCACCCUUUCACUUACUUGGUUUGUUUCUUACAUAUAAUUUUUCAAAUUUGUUCUGCUAUUCACCAUGCUUAUACACAUUUUAUAACAACAGAAUUUUCAGAAUUCUAAUGACGAAGAUUGAGCUCAUCCGGUACAUCCAAUGAAGAAACUAUCUGGAGUCAGGCUAGUCUUUACUUCUUAAGAAUGAGCACUUUUUUGGUGGGAUUGAGAAGUGCCUUAUGAAUUUACGUUGAAAUUACCUUCACCGAUCUGCUUUAGAAAGCUUUUCUUGAAAAUUGUACUGCUGCUUUUCGGCUAUCUGAUGGUUCAGUUUUCAAAUAUUGAAUGACUGUCAGGAUUAAAUUUUCUGGUCUGUGGCUGAAUUGUUUGUAUGAUAAUCUUGUCAAAUCUGGAUAUGGUAAAAACCUUUUUUUUUUUUUCACUUUUGUCUCAAUUCCUUAUCAAUGAUCAAACAGUAUACAGAUUUGGAUGGAUCGGGAUGGAUCCAUAAAAUGAGGGAUGGAUCGGGAGCCCUGAUAUUGAUCUGACUCCCAUCCCCAUACAGAUUUGGCUCCUGGCGAGGGAACGUAUGCGCUUUUAGUGAAAAUUAUACAAGUUCUUACAUUAUUUUUCACUUUUCGGUCCUUAUAUCACUUGGUUACAAAUGGUGGAGAUGAAGAGAAAUUAAUAUUGGGAUACUAGAUAUUAAUUAAAUUAAUUUUGAGAUACUAUGUAUUAAUUAAAUGUAAUUAAUAUCUAGUAGUAAAUUUAACCGCACAUCCAAAUAAAUUGACUAUCGCUUUUCUAACCCCAAUAUUCUGAGUAGUCAUUAUUCAACCUUGGCUUUACUUGAACGUUUGAUCAUACGUCAUAAGAAGUAAAAAAUAUUUGUCCCAAUUUCACAAAUUAGUAGAUUAAAAAAAAAAACAAACAAACAAACAAACGCGUAUACACACAAUUUACAGAUUUCACUUUCACAUCAAGAAAUCUGGGUAUUAGAGUUUGAGGAAGAUAAUUAAUUAUCAUGUCUGUUGACUCUACGGUGAAACUAGGCUUUCUGUAUAUGUGACGGCAUUAGCAACCCAAUUACUGCUUCCAAAUUGUACAAUUUCCUGAGUUUUAUGAUCACACAAAACCAGGUCUCCAUCAUCAUUUAUCAGCAUUACUUCACCAUUUGCUCUGAAACCUAAGUACUGCCAUGCAAAUUGUGCUCUUAAAUCAACUGUGAGCAGAUUAAUCCAAUGCUCUACUGAUCCUAUAUUCUUCAUCAUCACAUACACAUUACAAAUACCAAGUCCUGUUCUGCUAUCUUCACUAUGACUUGAAACAAACAGUGAAAUUGAUUUUUCGAGUACCCCAACUGAUAUUUCUCUAUAAUCAAUAUUGUGCAAAUGAUGUUGAUGCGAGAUUCUGGUGUCUGCUCGUUCUCUACCAGGAUCCCUCUUCAACUCUCAAAUUCACAACCAACAGCAGGUUCUCCUCGUAGCUCUUCUAACCAAGCAGAACAAUGCCCUGUAAGACUUCCUCUCCACAGACUCUUGUGUGCACAGAAACUGGUCAGAGCACGCAGGGUGUUUUCCCGGCGUAAACCCUCCGACGUUCAAGUCAGAAAUGUAGGUUUUUUCCUAGGAAACACGACCACUAAUCUUGCGGCUCUCUUAUGAUUUCUCUCUCUCUUUUCAAAGAAGAAAACUCUUCUCUUAAGUUCUAAUAUCAAAAAGUCUAACCCCUUUACCUUCGCUGAUUACCCUUUUAUAGCCUUCCUUCGAAUCCGGCCUUUCCCACGAUCCACGUUCGUCACCUCCCUCAACUCUCGGAAGUGGGUGCUUCACUAUCGUAGUUGUGGCUGAGUGGACUACAUGCCUUGAUUCUCAGAUAGGAGUGCUCGUUUCGCCAACCGUCAUGGACCGGGUCUACCCACCUGUGGUCCCGAGGAGGGUGUCUUCGUGAACGAACAGAAUACUCCUGCCCGUGGAAACCUGCUACCAGACUUCUGCUCAUCUGCUCCAUUGUAAGGAGGCUGGCUCCUCGUCCAGGGCAUGGCUGGUCUUGUCAAAGCAUAUCCCGCAAACAAAUGAUUAGGCAGCUUUCUAUCUCUGAACGUUCCAUUACCGAAAUCGAAUGACCUGAUAAUUUUUUUAUCAGUACCAUUUCUCUCUUUUCUCACUGCCAGCCAAUGUUGAGCUCCACUUAAGUGCACAGUCGAAUUCGAACUCAGGCAUGGCGUACAUGGAAUAUUAGGUUGAAUGUUUUUCAGUGAAUGAACUUGAAUCUCAUUGUGCUCGCGGUGUAAUUGUUCAGAAGCAACUUCUCUAGCGUGGACAGUAAGUAAGAUCUUGAAGUCACCAGUUCUAUGACCAUAGCCAAAUCCUAUAAUGGCAAAAGUAGCAAAUGACCCUUUCAUUUCUUUCUUCCAAACAAAAACUAGUUGUAGCAGAGGAUCCAUAUUGUUCGUUUUCCCAGUCAAAACCCUGUGACUUGGAAUUUUCUUGUAUUUUCUCGUGGAGACAUAGGAAAGUGACAACUGUGAAAGGAAUUAAACAACAAACAAAUCAACCCACUACAAGUACUAACAGUUUGCGUCGAAUUGAUGGGAAAUUUAACUUCAUCAAACUGAACCAAGUUCUUGUUGCAUCGCAAAAAAUUGUUUUCGAAAAAGUUUCCUCCUUUAUAUUGAACAAGGUUGCAACUGUUAGUAGAUUCACUUAACUUGGCAUGCAAGGCUACAAACGCUGGAUUAGAUAUCACAGAGUACCAUUGUUUGCUUGCACAUUUAAAGCGUGUCAAAAUUUUCACUGAUAAUUUUAAAAGGGUUUCAAGCAUGGACUUUGCUGGUAAGGAUUUUGACAUUGUGGCUUAUGUUUGUUCUUGCUUUUCUUUAGAGGGGAAUUAUGUUUGGGGUAAAAUUUAAGCGAUGCAUUAGUAUAUAUAGAGAGGGUAAUUAUUAAUUAUAAGAAGAACAGUUCAGCAAAGGUGCCAUCUCAUGAAUGAAUGAUUCCUUAUGCGCUACUGCUGUAGUUUUUUUUUAUGCUGCUUGUAGCUUGUGUUCGCCCAAAUUACCCAUCUUUCAUGUUCUCUCUGCGACUAUUUGGUAACUGGGACAAUUUGUAAAUACUACAGCUAUUACUAAUUUUUUACUAAAUAAACUUUUACAACUAGCUGUAUGAUUUUUUUUAAGUUCUUAGUCGAUUUGCAUUUAUGUUAUUUAGCAGCUGCAUAGGUGCUCGUGUAAUUGUCAGUUUUGUUGACUCUUGCUUUAAAGGUUAAAUUAUUUGCAGAACAAAUGCUAAUGCCAUGAAGUUAAGUUAGUAACAUGAGAUGUAAGCAAUAAGCUGAAAAUUUGGAAAAACAAAGCCAAUUGCUUUGGGAAUAAUUUGCAUUACUGAACAAUGAGAGAAGAAAAUUCACUUGCUUCAGUUAUAAGUGGCACAAACAUAAUGUACAAAUGUCUCCCCAAAGAAAAAAAAAAAUUGCAGGUAUCUCUAUCAUAUCUACUAAUGUUGGUACUUUAUGGAGAAACUAGGCUCUCUGUGUAGAUGACAGCAUUAGCAACCCAAUUACUGCUUUCACAUUGAACAACUUCCUGAGUUUUAUGAUCAUACAAGACAAGCUCCCCAUCAUCAUUUCUCAGCAUUACUUCAUCAUUUGCUCCAAAACCUAAGUACUGCCAUGCAAAUUGUGCUCUUAAAUCAACUGUGAACAGAUUAAUCCAAUGCUCUACUCCUAUAUUCUCCUUCAUCACAUACACAGUACAAAUACCAAGUCCGGCGGUAUUAUCUUCGCUAUGACAAGAAACAAACAAAGCAAUAGAUUUUUCGAGUAUCCCAAUUGAUCUCUCUCUAUGUAUAUGAUCAGUAUUGUACAAACAGUCGGGCAGCUUUCUGUAUCUGAACGUUUCAUCACCAAAAUCAAAUGACACGAUAAUGUCUUUAUUAGUACCAUCACUAUCUUUUCUUAUUGCCAUCCAAUGUACAGCUCCAUUUAAGUGCACAGUCGAAUUCGAACUCAGGCAUGGAAUGCAUGGAACAUUAGGCUGAAUCCUUCUCCAACAAUUGUUUUUCAGUGAAUAAACUUGAAUGUCACUGUACUCACGGCGAAAUUGUUCGGAAGCAACUUCUCUAGCGUGGACAAUAAGUAAAAUCUUGAAGUCACUAGUUCUAUGAUCAUAGCCAAAUCCUGUAAUGGCAAAAGAAGCAAACGACCCUUUCAUUUCUUUCUCCCAAAUAAAACUAGCGGUGGCAGAGGAUCUAUAUUGUUCUUUUUCCCAGUCAAAACUCUUGUGACUUGGAAUUUUCUUGUAUUUUCUCGUGGAGGGGUUCCAAACAAACAUGGGAAAGUGACAACUGUGAAAAGUAUUAAGCAACAAACAAACCAACCCACUGCAAGAACUAACAAUUUGCGUCGAAUUGAUGGGGAAUUUAACUUCAUCAAACUGAACCAAGUUCCUGUUGCAUAGCGAAAAAUUGUUUUCGGAAUAGUUUCCUUCUUUAUACUGAACGAGGUAGCAUUUGUUAGUUGAUUCACUUAACUUGGCAUGCAAGGCAACAAACGUAGGAUUCGAUAUCACGGAGUGCCAUUGUUUGCUUACACAUUUAAAGCGUGUUAAAGUUUUGACUGGUAAUUUUAAAAGGGUUUCAAGCAUGGACUUUGCUGGUAAAGAUUUUGACAUUGUGGCUUACGCUUGUUCUUGCUUUUCUUUAGAGGGAGAUUAUGUUUGGGAUAAAAUUCAAGCGAUGCAUUAGUAUAUAUACUUAUAUAGAGAGGGUAAUUAUUAAUUAUAACGUGUGGAGAAAGGAAACGUCGGUGUCCUUAUACGAUCGGGAAACCUAAAUUCGAAUCGAGUCCAAGUUCCGUAAACGUUAAGGAUUGUAUUUUGUUUAUUAUACAAGGAUUGUAUUUUGAUCUCCUUGUCAACAAACAUGAUCUUAUCCUUCCUUAUAAAGAAUUCAAAUUUAUUUAAUAAUAAAUACAAUUUAUUUGUUAAUUAAUCAGUGACUCUUUCCUUUCUUAUAGGGCCAAAGAUUUAUCUUCAAUUCUCAGUAGAAAUUGCAUAGAAGAAGAAAGUAUCUUAGUUGAAUAAUCCCCCAUUAUUUUAUGCGGUAGUGGAUUUUGUAUUUUACUAGGGGAAGUGGGCGAGUGAGAGACGGCUAAAAGACCGCCCAUCAUCAGCAAAGCCGAAGUAAAUACAAUUUUUAAAAAUCAAUUAAAGCAAAAUAUUUGUACAUAUAGAGGUAUUAGUUAGUAAGUAUUAAUUAAAAUGAUAACUGGGAUUAUUUUCUUAAAGAGUACUCUCGAUUAAAUGAUGGCUUCGGGCAUCUCAGAGUUUUUGUUGUUGGGUUGAAUAUCAAACUCUACCACGUACGAUACAAGGUAAAGACGGAUAAAUUAUCACUGACUUGGUAAAUGAAAUUUAAGGAGAGAAUAAUAUUGUUUGUAAUGUACUAAUUAUCUAAUUCAAAUACCUUUUUUGUGAUAGAAAAGAAGUUGUUUCCUUGGCAUGCAUGCAAGACAGAGAUAAUAUAAAAUCAGUAGUAUAUGUUUGUGUGGCGUGAGUUGGAAAUGCUACGUUGUUCGUUUUCAUAUCCAAAGACAUCCUAAAAUUGGUUUUUUUUUUCUUCCAUUUUAUUAUCUCAUGAGACUUACAAUCAGUUUGAAUAUUUGUUAUAAUAAUUUUACAGAUAUAAAGAUUGACAUUAAUUACUUAAGAUUAACUAAUCGAAAAGAAAAUAGUUGAAUCAAAAUAAUUCUUUUUAAAUUUCUAUUUCAGUCAUAGGAAAAUCAAGAAAAAUAAAGGAAAGUUUCAAGAACUCGCUUAUCUCAAAUUCAUACUUAAAUUGUAAAAAAAAAAAAAAUCCGCCUUGGCCGUACAGCAGUAGCCAACUGAAAUAUUUGGGACUUCAUUGUUUGCCAAGCCUCGUGUGCUUUUGUUUGGGGAAUUAUGCCCUUGAAUUCCCAACUUUGGAAAAAGUAGUAGUUAGAGAAUGCCCAAAGAUGGAGAUUUUUUCUCAGGGAGUCUUAAGCACACCAAAGCUACAAAGACUUCUACUGACAGAAUCAGA
This 9356-nucleotide long non-coding RNA is filed under the name Citrus sinensis (sweet orange). RNAcentral describes it as "long non-coding RNA (CSIN_LNC001396)". Lineage: Eukaryota; Viridiplantae; Streptophyta; Magnoliopsida; Sapindales; Rutaceae. The record is from RNAcentral.